RNAcentral lists this ribosomal RNA (667 nucleotides) under uncultured bacterium. RNAcentral describes it as "bacterial SSU rRNA". It matches the Rfam family "Bacterial small subunit ribosomal RNA", at positions 59 to 716 of the family's 1533-position model. The record is from RNAcentral.
CAGUCGACGGUACAGGAAGCAGCUUGCUGCUUUGCUGACGAGUGGCGGACGGGUGAGUAAUGUCUGGGAAACUGCCUGAUGGAGGGGGAUAACUACUGGAAACGGUAGCUAAUACCGCAUAACGUCGCAAGACCAAAGAGGGGGACCUUCGGGCCUCUUGCCAUCGGAUGUGCCCAGAUGGGAUUAGCUUGUUGGUGGGGUAACGGCUCACCAAGGCGACGAUCCCUAGCUGGUCUGAGAGGAUGACCAGCCACACUGGAACUGAGACACGGUCCAGACUCCUACGGGAGGCAGCAGUGGGGAAUAUUGCACAAUGGGCGCAAGCCUGAUGCAGCCAUGCCGCGUGUAUGAAGAAGGCCUUCGGGUUGUAAAGUANCUUUCAGCGGGGAGGAAGGGAGUAAAGUUAAUACCUUUACUCAUUGACGUUACCCGCAGAAGAAGCACCGGCUAACUCCGUGCCAGCAGCCGCGGUAAUACGGAGGGUGCAAGCGUUAAUCGGAAUUACUGGGCGUAAAGCGCACGCAGGCGGUUUGUUAAGUCAGAUGUGAAAUCCCCGGGCUCAACCUGGGAACUGCAUCUGAUACUGGCAAGCUUGAGUCUCGUAGAGGGGGGUAGAAUUCCAGGUGUAGCGGUGAAAUGCGUAGAGAUCUGGAGGAAUACCGGUGGC